This 5345-nucleotide long non-coding RNA is filed under the name Triticum aestivum (bread wheat). RNAcentral describes it as "long non-coding RNA (TAES_LNC004479)". Lineage: Eukaryota; Viridiplantae; Streptophyta; Magnoliopsida; Poales; Poaceae. The record is from RNAcentral.
AAUUUCUGUAGUAUUGCGAGAUGUUUAAGACUUUGUAAGGUUCAGAUUUGAAGAGUACUUGAAACCUAUUGUUUGCUCAGUUUAGUACUUGUAUUAUAUAGUGUAUGUGUUCAGUUUCAGACUUGUGUUUGUAGUGUUACAUUGGUGAUCUGUGAGCUGAACCGUGGCAUGUGUCACUCAGUUUGUAUGCUUGAUAAUUAGCUAUAUAUAACCCAUGUCCAUUUCUUGCUUAAGAACCUUGUUACAUUGUGUAGUAUUUGUGUUAGCGUAAGUACGUGUGAUAUAUAUUUACGUUUAUGCGUGUCUGUGAUGUGAUGCAUUUUAUGUUUUGUCCUACAUACUUGUUUCUUCCCUCUGUUAAAUGUUAAAUAGUUAUAUAUAUAUAUAUAUAUAUAUAGUGUUACUAUUCAUCACCCAGGAUGCAGAAUAAGUUAUUCUUCACCCGAGGUAAUCUUACGAUCACUUCCUAAAUAAAUUACGUUUAGAAUAUAAAUAGUUACAUGCACAUUAAUUCAAUAUGUAAAAUUUGGUCUAAAAAAAGUUAUAAGAUCAGAAAAAUCACAUUUUAUGUAUGUUUUACAAUAUGUUUUUACAUUUGUAAUUUUAUGUAACAUAAAAUAUUUUUUACGGCGAGUACAUAUUUUCUUACGUUCUUUUUUUAUGUAUGAAAUAAGACAAAAUUUACAAAACGUAAAAAUACGGUGCAUUGAUGUCAAAAUAGAGAGGGGGUGAAGAAUAACUAUUCCUCACCCAGGGUGACGAAUAGCGCGACCCUAUAUAUANNNNNNNNNNNNNNNNNNNNNNNNNNNNNNNNNNNNNNNNNNNNNNNNNNNNNNNNNNNNNNNNNNNNNNNNNNNNNNNNNNNNNNNNNNNNNNNNNNNNNNNNNNNNNNNNNNNNNNNNNNNNNNNNNNNNNNNNNNNNNNNNNNNNNNNNNNNNNNNNNNNNNNNNNNNNNNNNNNNNNNNNNNNNNNNNNNNNNNNNNNNNNNNNNNNNNNNNNNNNNNNNNNNNNNNNNNNNNNNNNNNNNNNNNNNNNNNNNNCCCUAGCCGUUGAUGUAUGCUUGUGUUAGCAUUUUAUUUCUCUACUAAAACAAAAACACCAAAAAAAGACAUUGAGUAAAAUCUGAAUCUACCUUUGCUUAUCUGCAUUUUCUUUGGCGACAACCCUGUUUAGUUUAGUUUUACUUUCUUGCUUUCAUCACCCGAAUCGUGUUACCUAGCUUUAGCCGAGCAUAGUCGCCGUUGCCUAGUCCCUGUGGGGAACACGACACUCGCAGUUCGGGCGAAAUAUCCCACUGUAUUUACAAUUGAUCAUUUUGGCGCCGUUGCCGGGGACUAGCGUCGUGGGAUUUUGUUAGGCUAUAGACUAGGUUUUUCUUGUUUUUCCCUUUGUGCUAUAUAUAUGUGAUAUAUUUCUAACCCGUAACCCUUGUUCAAGUUAUUUUCUCUUUCUUUGCUUGGUCAUUCUGCAGGUUAUUGCAUCUUCUCAGAUAUGGCUUACUAUUCAGAUCAUCAUGCUUAUGCGAGCAACACUACAAACAGCACGGAAAGUAUUCAAGACCUGAUAAGAUUUCCCAUCGAUUAGAUGAUUUAGCUCGGCAGCGAGAAGUAAUUUUUGAGGAUAGGCCUAGCUCUUAUGAUCCUUAUUCUAGAGGCCAUCCUUAUGUUGCUCCUACCUGCCAUAUUUGUGGAUUUCAGGGCCAUUCGCCCGCUGAAUGUCAGCUUGGCUAUUCUCACCCUCCAGAUUGUUUUGGUAUGAACUUCACUCAAGAGCUUAGCUCAUACCAAAACAAUUACUCACAUGGGUGGCCUGGAAACCCGAAUAUGCCAUAUAGGAGCAACAACCCUGAGAUCUCAUCGUUUGCCUCUAGUUAUCCAAUGCAGGGAUUUAGGUAUGAAGAGGAGAGCCACAAUCAUGCACCACAAUAGUUUUAUUCACCUCCUACUCAUAUACCGCAGCACCAGGAGAUGUGUCCAGUGGAGUUAAAUGGUCCUCCAUUUGGUCAACCAACAACUCCAGCACCUGUUGUGCAAUCUCUUGUGCAAGUGCCCACACAAGAUGAGUUCGGUGACAUAGACAAGCUCACACUUUUGAGUCUCGAGUUCACUUGGAGUGCCGAGGAUGAUCCUAUUAGGAAGGUUAUACUAGAGGAAAUGAAGAAGAUCAAGAGUGGGAAGGAGCUAGUGGAAGAAGUAAGGAAGAUUGAGAAGAACAUCAACGCUGGCAGUACUAUCUCUUCCCUCCUUGAGUUAAGUGUUGCUGGGAUAUCCCUUGAGGUGUGUGAGGUUCCAACACCGUCACAUCCAGCUGAGCAAGAUAGCAAGAGCCCAGAGGAAGAGAUACUUCAGAUUGAAGAAGAUGAACUAGAAGACGAGGAACAAGAUGAUGAAGAGCUCGAAUUACCAAGUGGUCAAGAUGAAGAAAAAAGAUCUACUACUCUUGAAGAAGUAAAAGAAGCUGCUGUAGAUGAACUUGAAGAACCAGAAAUUCAUUUGCCCAUCGUCAUACAAGAGCGUGACGUAGCAGGUUUAUCCAAUCCUCUCAAUGACAUGCAUCCUUGUAAUCUCUUUGAUACUACCUUGCAUUGCACGAUACCAUCACUUAAGCUAGACUUGAAAAAUUAUUUGCUUGGACAUGAUCAUACAUAUCCUGUUAGUGGCAUUACUCUCAUUUGUGAUGAUCACAGUUACUUUCCUCGUGCUAGUCCUAUGCUAAAUGAAACAUAUCAUUCCCAUGCUAGUCUUGAGGUUAAUGAUAAAUAUCAUCCUCAUGUUAGUGUUGACCUUGCUGAUUUCGACCAUCCUAAACAUGUGCUUUAUAGCUAUGCUUAUGUAAUUGGAUAUUCGAUUGAUGACUUGGAGGGUAUUAUCCCUACCACUUGCAUUUUCUCUCUCGUUGAGUGCUCUUUCAGGUUCUUGCUUCUGCACGAAUCACUACAUGCUGACCAGGUUCGAGGUGACAUUCCUUGGGACCCCGGUGGAUCCUGAGCACGGAGACGAGGAGAAGCAAGGAGCACACAUAUGGAAGAGAGAAACUGGAGCGUGCUUGUGGAAGCAAAAGGAGUAGAGCUGCAGUUUAGAGAGUGUCGAGCGAGUGCUACAUUAAAGCCCGGUGAGCUGUUUCAUGACCCCAAUCUUAAUAUAUCAUCCAUUGAUACAUGCUGAAAUCAUUUGAUAUUUGGGUUGCUUGAGCCAUUUCUUAAAUGUCGUCCCACUGAAUUUUACCUUUGACAUAUGAUGCUUGAUGUGAAUAUGUGAACUGAAUCGUGAAUGCCUUGUAAACUAGUGAUCUACAUACUGCUUGCUUUGCUGAAAUUAGUGAAAGUUAUUAGUUUUGAGUGCUCAAAUCCCUAGUACACUAGAAAACUCCAUCAUUUUCUGCAUUUACUUUGAUACACCUAGAUCAUUAAGUGCUAGAUGCUGAUUUUGUGCCAAGUGUGUUCCCAUUCAGAGCAAUCACUUAACCACUAUGGAUUAGCAUGCUAUGUUCUCUGGAUCGGUAGCAUGUGAACCAGACAUGGAUGGGUGAUGAUUCUUGUUUCCUUUCUUAUGUUUCAUGCCAUUGUAAUUCCUUUGUUUAAUAAGUAAUAAUGAAUAAAUAAUUAUCUGAUCUACCUAACAGUAGCAUGUCAUGUUCCUGGAUCGGUGGCUUGUGAAAUCUGAUUGGAUCGGAUAGGAGUUAAUUAUAUUUAAAAAAGAUGUAAUUGUCGAACCAGGUGUAUACCAUGUUCUCGGGAUCGAUGGUAUGUUCCUUUGGGGAGACAAAACUAAAAAAAACUAAUAAUUGGUCGAGCCAGGUGUAUACCAUGUUCUCGGGAUCGGUGGUAUGUUCCUUUGGUGAGACUGAUAAAAUAUUAUCAUUACUUCCUUCAAAUUUAAUAAGUGGUUCAACCACAAUGUUAUAUUUCUGCAAAUAAGUGAUUUAAUUCAAGUUCCUUUUGUUCUCAGGAUCAUGCUCUCUUUAGGAACCUUUUGGCACAGUCAGCAUUUGAACUUGCUAAUCUUCGUUUAUCUUUGCAAAAGUUUAAAAUGGUCGAGUUUACUAGUGUCCUAUUGAUAUGUAGCACUCUUAACCAUUAAUUUUCACUAGCCAAGUCCAAAGCAUGCAUUGUUUGGAGAUCUACUUCACUGGGACAAUCUCCAGUCAGUUCGCUGUUCACUACCUUGCUCUUGUCAUAUGCCUUUACUUGAGGACAAGUAAAGAUUUAAGUGUGGGGGAACUUGAUAAGCACAUUUCUUAUACAUAAUUUUGGCACAUAUAUACACCAUUUAUUGAUAUAUGUUCAUCCAUUCUUACUAUGAAUUGUGAUAUAUUUGGAUGAAAAUCAUAUAAAAGAUCAUUUACUCGUCAUUUGUUUCUUCUGCAGAAAAGUGCGCAAAGGCACUAUAAACCUCAAGAUUCUGACUAAGAGGCCGAAGAAUACAAGACAAGGACGGGAAAGAAAGAAGGGGGACCUGAGCAUGAAGGAAAGAAGAAACCGAGGGCCAAACUAGAGAAGGGAAGGGAUGUGCUUGCGAAGAAAGAAGGGAGCAGGAGGGCCAAAUCAAAAAGUGGCAAAUCUGAUCGUGGGAUCAAAUCCCUAGCGCUAGCCACCGAUCCCCUUUGGGCCUGGCCACAUAUCUCUCUCUUUCCCCUGCCUCCUUCUCCACCUCCGGCCGCUGGCGCGGUCAGGCCGGCGUGGCGGCGCGCUGCUGCAUCUCCAUUCACCACUCCACAUCCAUCCACCAACGCAUCCACCAGCGCCGCUGCAUCUCCCUUCACCGCGCCACCACCCAACCUUCCUCCGCGCGAGUGCCCCUGCUGCCGUCCUUCUCCACUCUCCUAGUGCCUCCUGCGGUCUCUCUUCUCCAUGCCCCCGCCGCUGCUUCUCUUCUUGCCCAAACCUUUCUGUUGCUCCUUCUCUGAACCUGCUGCUUCUACUGCUUCUCCCACGUCACUGCUGCUGCUCUUCUUUUCUUUCCCCUACUGCUGUCCUUCUUCUGCCUCAACCUCCUGCUAUUGCCUUCUCUCUCUCUCUCUAAAUUUCUGUAGUAUUGCGAGAUGCUUAAGACUUUGUAAGGUUCAGAUUUGAAGAGUACUUGAAACCUAUUGUUUGCUCAGUUUAGUACUUGUAUUAUAUAGUGUAUGUGUUCAGUUUCAGACUUGUGUUUGUAGUGUUACAUUGGUGAUCUGUGAGCUGAACUGUGGCAUGUGUCACUCAGUUUGUAUGCUUGAUAAUUAGCUAUAUAUAACCCAUGUCCAUUUCUUGCUUAAGAACCUUGUUACAUUGUGUAGUAUUUGUGUUAGCAUAAGUACGUGUGAUAUAUAUUUACGUUUGUGCGUGUCUGUGAUGGUAUGCAUUUUAU